UUCCAGCCUGAAGAAAUUGAUGAUGCAGACCUGUUUGCUUGUCUUCCUAAGGAUUAUUCACCCCUUUCCGUGGGAGGGGCAGCGUCACUGAGAAAGUUACGGGUUGCAAGCUUGAGUGUCUAAGAACCGCCUGGCGAGCUUCUUAAGCAGAUCGCCAGGUUCCAUCUUCGCAGACUCUGGUUCAGCAGGUAGCAGGUUAGCCCGAGAAUCUGCAUUUCUAACAAGCUCCUAGGCGUGCCCACGCUGUCAGUAUUGGCAGCCCAACCUUUUUUGGGGGGUGGGGGGGGGAGUUUUUCUAUGUUGCCGGUCUCGAACUCCUAGCCUUAAGCGAUCUUCCCUACUCGGCCUCCCAAAAUGCCAGGAUCGCAAGCGUAAGCCACUGUGCCAGACCACCACCCUUUUUCUUCUUUUUUGUAAGUGGACUAAUUAUAGUUGUAUAUAAGCAGCUCCACUUUUGAUGACCACUGCUCUAUUUUGUCGGCUCCUGGGGACCUCCUUUCCAUGAAGUGGAGAAGGAAGGGGAUAGAGGAGUCCCUCAUCACAGGGUCCUUUUGCGCACUGCUAUCCCUGGAAUGAGACCCUGGGAAGGGCCCCGGAUCACUCAGGCUGUCACUGCAAGGAAAAAGUUGAGGAAGCAGCAGUGCCCCUGGAAAGCCUGGAAGUGUCCCUGCUGCUUGGAUCAAGGAACAAUUCGUCCUUGCAAGGAAGAAGCAUCCCUUGUUGAUGAUAAGGACAGAUUUCCUCAGCUGCCCCAGAAAGCCAGCCUCUGCCUAAAACACCGUAGGUCAGGAGGGAAAGCUGGCGGGGAACCAGCCAGCUGCACCACAGACAGUCUGGUGGUAUACCUGGGAAGAAAGCUACCUGCAAGGACCUACUCUGUUCCUACUACGCUCUGGGUGUCCCCCAAGUCACUGCCUAUUUUGCUUGGUUGCAUAAACUAUUUAUGUAAAUGUACUUCCAAUUUUAGUGCUUACAGCCACUAGCAAAAAGCAAAAGCUUUGGAGUCAGUGGUCCUGGUUAACUUACCCCUCCCUCCACAAGGUAGUAACAGUGUAGGGAACUGUGGAAAAGGCUGUUUGCCUUCCCUGAGUCUAAUUCUUCAUGGAGUAAAUGGAGUCUGUUUCUUCAGUACUACACCAAGUUGUUCAUGAGGAUCGAGUUUUCUAAUAUUCAUGAAAAUACUUUGUAAACCCUGGCACACCAUGCUCAUGUUAAUCACCUUCUUACUGGAAGAAAAUGCUUUAGAUAAUUUAGGCUUUUUUUUUUUACCCAUAGAAUUCCCUUCCUUCCUUCUGCUUUUUUUUUUCUUUUCUUUAUUUUUUCAGAGAUGAUGUUUCAGUAUGUUGCCCAGGCUGGUCUCGAACUCCUGGCCUCAAGCGAUCCUCCUGCCUCAGCCUCCCAAGUAGCUGGAACUACAGGCAUGCCUCACCAUACUUUGCCCCUUCUACUUUUGUAGAGCCAAGCCUGACCUUCCUGGACUGUUGUUUUCAAGCAUAAUAUCUCUGGUACAACAUUGAUACAAUCCACAUGAGUUCUUUAAGUAAGUGGCUAGUUACUUGGGGAUUCAAAGGAUCAUCUUGUCUCAGACUUUGGGUUCCUAUUGUCAAUACUUAAAUUCUAUGAUAGGAUGCCCCAGGAAAGAAGGAAUACAAGGCCGAGCUGCGUGGUGACUUUCAGGGGCCCUAUUUUUGCCUUAGUAGGCCUUUCUCUCCAUAAAACAGUUAAUAAAAAUUUCAUUUUAUAGUCACAUUGCUAUGAAGAUGAUUAUAUUAAAAUGAUAUCAUAAAACAUUUUUAGACCUGUAAGUUCAUUUAUUGCUCUUGAUUAAAAAAAUUGAAACAUUUUCAUGGUCCUUCAGAAUAUCAUGGUUUGUAGGCAUGAUGCCUCCUGCACAUCAUGGAGAAGUUGGCUGAUGCAAAAUGAAUUCCUCUAUAGGCACAAGUGUGUUUGUAUUAAUAUUAUGAAUAUAAAAACAAGGCUAGCCAUGGUGGCUCAUGCCUGUAACCCCGGCACUUUGGGAGGCUGAAGCGAGAGAGUCACUUGAGCCCAGGAGUUUGAGAACAACCUGGGCAACAUAGAGAGACCCUGUCUCUACAAAGAUUUCAAAAUUAGCCAGGCAUGGUGGUGCGCCCCUGUAGUCCCAGUUGCUUGUGAGGCUGAGGCAGGAGGAUGGGUUGGGCUUGGGAGGUCGAGGCUGCAGUAAGCUGUGAUUAUGCUAUUGCACUCCAGCCUGGGUGACAGAAUGAGAUCCUGUCUCAAAAAAAUAAAAAACAAAACAAAACCUCAGCUAACCACAAAAUCAUCAUAUUUAUGGGAGGACAAAAUGAGAUGCUUGAAAAAGAUGACCUCGUAGUUUGUGGUUGUGGUUGCUUCCUAAACUACAUUCUCACCGUACUUCCUAGUUAUCUAACUAGGAGAUUUGGAUAAGGUUGAGUCCAUCUCCACCACUCUCACCACCAGUUCCGGGAAUGAGUCCCUAGAGGUUUAACCCGAUCAAUCAGGAUGACCAUGACUCUUCCAUAGCGAUUGGGGCAGGGAUGGCACCUACCCCUGGCGACCCGUGCUGCUCCCCUGGCAAUAGGGAUUGGCUCAGAAUAAAAACUUGGCC
Molecule: long non-coding RNA, 2608 nt
Filed under: Homo sapiens (human)
Lineage: Eukaryota; Metazoa; Chordata; Mammalia; Primates; Hominidae
Description: non-protein coding MIS18A-AS1:2
Source: RNAcentral